CUUUAUGAUUGUGUUCGGGUCUUACAGCAGCUAUGUAAAUCCUGCGUGAGUCAUGGCAGGCUGAAACCUGGCUGCCUGCAGAGCAGACACCAACUCCAUAAACCUGCCCCCCGAUGCCACAGUUCCUGACCUCCAGCUACACUCCACAAUCACAGUUAGACGGAGGGGUCCUAUAAUGACUUGUAAAGUUGAAAGUGGGCAGCUGAACAGGCUGUCUUGAGGAAGAGGUACCCACAGUCGAGGUGUCAGGAACAGAUUGUGACACUCGGUGACAUGGCAGUCAGGCAGAAUUACGGCGCACCUCUGUCCCACUGUCAUCCCUCCACAGCCAGCCGUCGGUCAGCGUUUCAGAGAUGGUACACUGCAGAAAACCCAUGUCUUAUCAAGUGGAUUUUUCUUGUUUUCAGGUUCAAAAUCCAACCCUUCUUAAAAUAAGAUACAUUUCUUUAACAAGCCACAUUUGUAUUAGAUAAUAACCCUUGGUUUGAGUGAAUAUGCCUUGAAAAUCUUGUUUAGCGUAUGAAUCUUGUUUAUAUAAUAAAUGUAUAAGUUCUUCUGACUUAAGAGAGAAACUGAAACAGAAUCGAGACAUCAGACGAAUAUUAUCAACUAAUUUUCCAAAAACUUGCCAUUUUCAGAUGCCUAAAUAUAUAUGUGCUUGUAUGCUUGUUACAAGGCAUCUUACCUAGUGUUAUUUGUCUUGUUCCAUUGGCCCAUUCAAGCAAAUAGCUCCCUAAAUGUCAUUAUUUUCCACCUUACUUUUUGAGAGUUAUUUUUUGCAGUGUACUGCUCUACAAAUCACAGAUAGACCAUCCGAAACAGACAGACAGAAACAGACAGACAGAAACAGACAGACAGAAACAGACAGACAGAGCUCCAUGGGUGCUUUGGGGGACGCCGCCUCUUCUCACAUGUUUUAAACAGGCACCCGGGUGGAUCUAAUCUUCUGAAAUAUAAUUAGUGGCAGAAAAAGCCUGAUAAUGUGACAGUGUGCAGUGACCUCAGAGCAGCCCUUAGGUGGUAGCAUAGCUGCCUGCCUGCCUGUCGCAUUGCAGUUCAUCUCUGCUAAUUAUUUAUUGUAGCACAGGGCCUCUGCCAGUAAUCAGGGGUCAUCAUAUUAAAAUAACAAA
Esox lucius (northern pike) is the source of this 1130-nucleotide long non-coding RNA. RefSeq lists it as uncharacterized. The transcript is spliced from 3 exons. The record is from RefSeq and is a predicted model, not a curated record. NCBI's taxonomy places the organism in Eukaryota, Metazoa, Chordata, Actinopteri, Esociformes, Esocidae.